RNAcentral lists this transfer RNA (72 nucleotides) under Paralia sulcata. RNAcentral describes it as "tRNA-Glu". It matches the Rfam family "tRNA". From Rfam's summary of the family: Transfer RNA (tRNA) molecules are approximately 80 nucleotides in length. Their secondary structure includes four short double-helical elements and three loops (D, anti-codon, and T loops). Lineage: Eukaryota; Bacillariophyta; Melosirophyceae; Paraliales; Paraliaceae. The record is from RNAcentral.
GUCCUUAUCGUCUAGAGGUUAGGACAUUACCCUUUCACGGUAAUAACACGGGUUCGAAUCCCGUUAAGGAUA